This 447-nucleotide ribosomal RNA is filed under the name uncultured bacterium. RNAcentral describes it as "partial 16S ribosomal RNA". It matches the Rfam family "Bacterial small subunit ribosomal RNA", at positions 28 to 523 of the family's 1533-position model. The record is from RNAcentral.
GACGAACGCUGGCGGCAGGCUUAACACAUGCAAGUCGAACGCUCCGCAAGGAGAGUGGCAGACGGGUGAGUAACACGUGGGAACGUACCCUUUACUACGGAACAACUCCGGGAAACUGGAGCUAAUACCGUAUGUGCCCUUUGGGGGAAAGAUUUAUCGGUAAAGGAUCGGCCCGCGUUGGAUUAGCUAGUUGGUGGGGUAAAGGCCUACCAAGGCGACGAUCCAUAGCUGGUCUGAGAGGAUGAUCAGCCACAUUGGGACUGAGACACGGCCCAAACUCCUACGGGAGGCAGCAGUGGGGAAUAUUGGACAAUGGGCGCAAGCCUGAUCCAGCCAUGCCGCGUGUGUGAUGAAGGCCUUAGGGUUGUAAAGCACUUUCACCGGAGAAGAUAAUGACGGUAUCCGGAGAAGAAGCCCCGGCUAACUUCGUGCCAGCAGCCGCAGUAA